CGGGGCGGCCCCCCCGCGGGCGCCUCUCCCCGGCGGUGACCAUGCCCAUUCCCCGCCACAGGAGGGGAUUACGCAAGGCAGCCUGCGCCUCAUCUGCAUACACUUACAGGCUGGGUAUUCCCCGCAUUUCCUAACGGCGUGUCACCGACAAAGGCCUGUGCCCGGACCCGGCCUCCUCCUAUGCCGGCUCAGCGGGGCGGCAGGCUGGGCCGACCCGGGCCGGGGGAAGGGCCUCCGGCCGUGGUGCCCCGGGGACGGCGCCGGUGACUACCAGUGCCCUGAGCCGCCGCCACAGAGUAAAACUGCAAAAUACCUGGGGAUGCUGGGACGAUGAAUACCCAGCAAGGAUGAGUGUCCCUACCACCAGCACUUCCUCAGGGACUCCUGGAGAGCCGGAGGGAGCACCUGCAGCAGCUCUGGGGCUGGGAAGGCCAGUGCCCCAGGCAUCCUUCCAAUACCUUCUUUCAUCACUGAUCCAGAGGGAAGUGUGCCACCUACUGAAGGACCUCAGCCACGUCCUACACCUAUGGGACUUUCUGAAGAGCUUUUCCUUUCCUGAACACUACUGAUUUGAAUAAGGAAUUAGUCUUCGGUGAAAGACAUGAGAAAACACACUCCAGGCUAGCUCUGUCUAAUUUAUGUGUAAGCAGUCUAAUUAGAGAUAAAAAUCA
Long non-coding RNA from Calypte anna (Anna's hummingbird), 671 nucleotides. RefSeq lists it as uncharacterized. The transcript is spliced from 3 exons. The record is from RefSeq and is a predicted model, not a curated record. Lineage: Eukaryota; Metazoa; Chordata; Aves; Apodiformes; Trochilidae.